GCGGCGCUCGAGCGCUGAUUGGGCAGCGCUGCCGGCCCGCGGUAUAAAGGGCCGGCGGGGCGGGUGGGGCCGGUUGUGUGUGUGAGGGCUGAGGGUGCGGCCCCGCUGCUGCCCGGGCUGCGGAGGGGAGAGCGCCUUGGCCGCUGGCCUCGCUCGUGGUUUCCCCUGGUGCGGAGGCGAGUUGUGCUUCCUGCGGGGAGAGAGAAGGGCCUUGGGAAGCUGCUCCAUGAGCCACAGCUGUGCCGAGCCCGGGAGUCUGUCCAGACUUCACAAAGCUCCCAGGAAAGGAACCUUUAGAUUCCUUCCCAGCUUUAUGCUAAAGGUUUCCUUCCUCCUGUCUCAGCACCCUUUCUGCUGUUGGGAGAGCACGAGGUGGAUGGAGAGGAUCCCCAGGCAUCUGCAGGCACAAGGGACUCGUACAACUGUGAUUUUCCUACAGCCCUCGUAAAAGGGACCUCCAGGAUACUCUUGGGAAUGUGCCAGCUCUCCUGCUGGAGCUAUUCUAUGGAGUAUUUGAACACAAAGGGUAAAACUAAAGUCAGGAGAAACUGGGGCAAGCGGGCAGGAAGAAGAGAAGCCCC
Pipra filicauda (Wire-tailed manakin) is the source of this 581-nucleotide long non-coding RNA. RefSeq lists it as uncharacterized. Lineage: Eukaryota; Metazoa; Chordata; Aves; Passeriformes; Pipridae. The record is from RefSeq and is a predicted model, not a curated record. The transcript is spliced from 4 exons.